UUUAGGGUGUUGUUUAUUUUAUUGUUGUUAAAUUUUUAUUGGAAAUAUAUUAAUUUUUAUUAUUUUUAUUAGAAAAAAUUUUGUUAACUAUAGUUUAUUGUAUUGUAAGAGAUUUUCUUUUAAUUUUUAUAAGUAGAUUUAGUUUAUUGUACCUUGUGUAUCAGGGUUAAUUAAUUUAGUAUUAAAUAUUUAGUUUUCCCGAAUUUAGAAGAGCUAUAAGUUAAUUUAUUUUGUUGUGGAAUAACCAUUUAUAAUUGAUUUAUAGUAGUGAAAUGUUAUUCGUUUCUAAAUUUAUCUGGUUUUUUAGGAAAUUAAUUUAAUUAUUUUAAUAUUAGGAAAAUUAUUUAUUGUUAUUUUUUUCUUGUUAUUAUGUAAUGCUUAAGGGGAUGAGCUUUUAAGUAAAUUUUUAUAAUUUUUUGUUUAGUAAAUCUUAUGUAGGAUUAGAAUUUUUUAUCAUUAGGAGGAUGUUAUAAUUGAAGAUUUAUUUUAUUUGUUUUAUGUUUAUUUUAAAUUUUUACUAAAAUAUUGGUUUUAAUUUUGUUUGCUGUGUAAUAAUGAUUAAAUUAGUAUAUAUUUUGUGUGUGAGUAAAUUUGUUUUUUUAGACGAUAAAAAGGAACUCGGCAAAUAAUUGUUUCCACCUGUUUAUUAAAAACAUGUCUUUUUGUUGUUGAUUUAAGGUCAGGCCUGCCCAAUGAUUAUUUAAAUGGCCGCAGUACUUUGACUGUGCAAAGGUAGCAUAAUCAUUAGUUUUUUAAUUGGAAGCUGGUAUGAAAGGUUUGAUGAGAAAUAAGCUGUCUCUUUGUUGUAAUUAGAACUUGAUUUUUGAGUAAAAAAGCUUAAAUUUUAUAUAAAGACGAGAAGACCCUAUAGAGUUUUAUAAAUUUAAUGAGUAUAUAAUAGGUUUUUAGUUUUUUAUUAAAUUUAUUUUGUUGGGGUGAUAUAAAAAUUAAAUUAACUUUUUAUUAUUUUUACAUUAGUUAGUGAGUAUUUGAUCCUUAUUUUUGGAUUAUAAGAUUAAAUUACCUUAGGGAUAACAGCGUAAUUUUUUUUGAAAGUUCUUAUUGAUAAAAAAGUUUGCGACCUCGAUGUUGGAUUAAGGUUAAUGAGUGGUGUAGCAGCUGCUUAAUUAGGUCUGUUCGACCUUUAAAACUUUACAUGAUCUGAGUUUAGACCGGCGUGAGCCAGGUUAGUUUCUAUCUUUUAUUAUUUUAAAAUAUUUUAGUACGAAAGGACCAUUUAUUUAAAUUAUAUUUUUAUUUUGAAUUCUAUUAUUAUUUUGGCAGAUUAGUGCGAUAGAUUUAGAAUCUUUUUAUGUAAUUUAAAUUACAAAUAA
RNAcentral lists this ribosomal RNA (1334 nucleotides) under Zophobas atratus (kingworm beetle). RNAcentral describes it as "16S ribosomal RNA". The stretch from base 1031 to 1189 matches the Rfam family "Archaeal large subunit ribosomal RNA", at positions 2542 to 2701 of the family's 2987-position model. The record is from RNAcentral. Lineage: Eukaryota; Metazoa; Arthropoda; Insecta; Coleoptera; Tenebrionidae.